UUUCUUUGUUUUUAUUUCACAGAUUCAUUAUUUCUUGAAAGCACCACCCCCCAGUUUAUGUCUUUAUCUGCUUCCCUGAGGGCACUGAGCCUGUUAAUUGCAUAAAAAAGUUCUGAAACUGAGGACUGAUAUGGAGGUUUCAAGGUACUGACAUAACAGAAGAUUUACGCAUCUGAUUAGGAUUUGCAGCACAAAGACUCUGUGCUGCCUCCCUCCUGUUCCAACAGCUUUCGAGGAGCAGUGGCUGAAAAUGGAUACUCAAAGUAGGACUGACUGAGCAGCCAACUAGCAGCACCUGCUCCUUUUUAAGGAUUAUUUCAGACUGCUGCUUAUUUCAAACCCACCUGGAAACUGUGUCCACAAAAACAAGGAUAUGCUUUUGCAAAAUAAAGAGCUGAGUAGCAUAA
Molecule: long non-coding RNA, 407 nt
Organism: Pipra filicauda (Wire-tailed manakin)
Lineage: Eukaryota; Metazoa; Chordata; Aves; Passeriformes; Pipridae
Exons: 2
Source: RefSeq, a predicted model, not a curated record